Long non-coding RNA from Pseudophryne corroboree (corroboree frog), 3854 nucleotides. RefSeq lists it as uncharacterized. NCBI's taxonomy places the organism in Eukaryota, Metazoa, Chordata, Amphibia, Anura, Myobatrachidae. The record is from RefSeq and is a predicted model, not a curated record. The transcript is spliced from 4 exons.
GUGUCCGGCUGCCACUGUCAGUGCUGUACAGGGAGGAAUAGCGUUAGCUGCAGCUGUAUCACAUACCCGACGACAGCUAGGGGGAAAGCAAGAAGAAUCUCCCACCGGCCUCUCAGAGCAGCAGGGUAGUUAGUGUCUUUCAUCUGUUUUCCAACCACCUGACGGAGUUUCAAAGCUUGCAGGCGCAGUGCUGCUGUAGUCACAGUGCGCACUUCCUGUAUGCACCGCGGACCGGACCUGCAUGUAUGUGUAACUCCAGUCCACUCUUAUUCCCUCUGUGUGCCUGUUUGGCUUCCGCCUCCUCUGACAUGCAACCUCUUAACUGUGUGUGCCUUCCCUGUGUCUAAUUAGGGCCAUAUCCAGCCAAACCCAUUCAUGAUCUCACUAUGGGGACAUAGUGAGAUCAUGUCCCCAGUGGACCCUGCAGCUGUUGCCCGAAAGGGACACGGCAGACACUGAUUGCUGUGCAGUGUUCAAUAACAGAGGUUCCCGGCUUCCCGCCCCUCUAAAUGUCGGCAAAGCCGCAGCGUGUGCCGUGUGACAGAGCUGGGACACUGGGAGGAGAUGCCAGGAGCAGCGGAGCUGAUUAGAGCACAGGAACUUAAGACCAGUUAAGAAACUGUACCCGAGGAGAGACAGCAACACGACCAACAGAGGAGGAGGGGACGCUGGAGUUAGUACCAUGGGGACAUCCCAAAGCUUCCCAAAUGGGCGGGAGAGCACUGAGAAUUCUGUAAGACUGCACAGUCAAGCCGAGACUCAAGGCCACAACCGAGAGACUUUUUGGAGUGUGACAAAAGUAUGUCAGGCAACCUAAUAUGCAGUAUGACCCAAAGGCAACCGAUAUAGAGACCCACCAACAAAUAGAAAGAGGCGAUACAGAUGCCAGAAAUGGCCAAGAAGCAGAGAGGCUAGGAUCGGCCAAUAAAACAAUAUGACUGGGAUAAAUAUGUCGUACCAAUAGCAAGCCAGAAAGUUUGUCAAGGCUGGCCAUGCAGUUAUCGAAACAAAGGUGGAGCCAUCAUGGCUACACAGAUAUUGAAGCCACGAUCAUGCCCUGAAAAAAAACAUAAGGAUUACAGAGGCUAGCCCGAAAGAUUGCAACCCUGCAAUAGCAAGUGAGAUCCGAACCGUAAGGCAGAACGUUGAAGCCCAACAACUCCCUGAACAAACAGAUGAAUGUCUGGCAGGAUGUGUUAUAGAGAAGACCGACCAGCAAGUCUGCACUUUAAGGAAGAGCAUACAGAGCCCUGCUUGCCAACAAAAAUGGAAAAGUUGCCACCAGUCACCAAGAGUAUGCUGCUUAGGCCACAAAUUUUGUCCGAUAUUAAAGGAACACCUGACUACAGGCGGCAUACAGCCACAGAGACGAUAGAGUAACCACUGCGGAAUGCUAUAUUACCCUCAUGGGAAAGUACUCCGGCAUGCCACAUAAAAUUAAAGAACCAACAUUCUGUGCCACCAAAGUUUUCCGCAUGCCUACACCUCUGUAACAGCUAAUCUGUCAAGUGUAGGUGCCAGAACAAGCCCAAACACAGAGGCAACAUCCCAGGGUCGUCCGCGAAAGAAUCAGCAGAUCUGUAGACCGAGACAUGCGAGGCAAAACAAAAGAAUGAGAAUUAAACAUUCAUAUAUUGUCUACACUGCAUGAGUAAACAGGGAAGGAGUACGAAAAACAGUGAACACCUACGCUAACUGGUAAGACCACAGAUCUGACAAGGCCUCCACAGUUAGGGCCCAUCACCAGAGUAGAAAUUGUCUGUGCAGAAAACUCACUCUAAUGCACCCCAUACACUUGUGCGAUUGCAUUUGACGCGAUAUCGGGCCCAAUUUUCCUUAAGCUCACCUUGAGAUAAAUCUCAUCGAAAGUGCUUUUUUUGUGCAUUCGAUUCGCAUACAAUCUUGCGAUUUAUCGCAUGCCCCUAGCGACUGGAAAUCAGGUGACAUUGUAUGAUCGAAUGCGAACGCAUCGCAUGCUGACCAAAGCACACCAGAUUUAUCUGCAAGAUCUUUAAAAAUGUAAAUAGAGGGCUGGGCUAUCUGGGGGGUAUAUAAACAAGCAGUCAUUUUAACUCUGUGCACUUCUGUUUGCUUUGUGACUAGAGAAGUUUGGUUUAGAAGUUUGCUAGCUACCGUGCACUGCUUUGUUCUGCUUGCAUUACAAAGUGUUUCUAUACUGCUGUGUGUAGAGAUGGAUUCUCCUCGCUAUCAGGCUCUCAUGUGCUACACUGUGCUCAAGAUGAGGGGAGACAGGGAGAGGGCCCAGCAAAGGCGGAAAGAGAGAUCUUGCUGGAUGAAGGACUGGUUACUUAAAAAGCCUACUCGGUCCUACAUGCAACUCCUGGAUGAGAUUAGGGACAAUAUCCCGGACAACUACGCAACUUCCUGAGCACGGAUGAUGACACUUUCCAGGAGUUGCUGCGUCUGGUGACCCCCCACAUAGAGAAGCAGGAUACUAAAUGGCGGGUGCCUAUCCCUGCUCAGGAGAGGCUCGUGGCUACCCUGUGGUUCCUUGCUACUGGACAGUAGUCGUUUGAAGACCUGAAGUUUGGGACCCGUAUCUCUGUGCAGGCUUUGGGACACAUCAUACCUGAAACCUGCAAGGCUAUUAUCAAGGUGCUUCAGUACAAGAACUGUAAGUUCCCUACAAGCGUGGAAGAAUGGUAAGCUAUUGCAGAGGAUUUUGACAGGUGCUGGAAUUUCCCAAACUGUGGUGGUGCAAUAGACGGGAAACGUGCGCAUCACCAAAACCACCAACAGCGGGUCGGACUACUUCAAUUAUAAAGGCUACUUUAGCAUUGUUCUCAUGGCAGUGGUCAAUGCAAUCUAUGAAUUUAUUUUCCUGGAUGUUGGUUAAAAUGGUCGUUGCUCAGAUGAUGGAUCCUUGAAAAAUACACGUUUCUAUGAUAGGCUCACCACCAACUCAAUUCAUCUGCCGCCUGUUGAGCAAACAAAGAAUGGGCUGGGAUUUGUGUUCGUGGAAGAUGAGGCCUUCGCACUGCACAAACACAUAAUGAAGUCCUACCCGCAAAGAGUCCUGAACAACGAUAGGUGCAUUUUCAACUACCGCCUUUCUAGGGCCUGUCGGGUUGUUGAGAAUGCAUUUGGCAUUCUCAGCAACCGCUUCAGGAUCUUCCACCGACCCAUCAACUUGAGGCUGUACAAAAUUGACUGUGUAGUAACAGCAUGCUGUAUACUGCACAACAUGCUCCGACGCAAGGCCACGAGACAAAAGCCUUUGCUCCCAGCAGGAUCGGAAGACCCCAACAAGCCAUUGGUGAAAGUGCCAAUUUCCUCGGUGGGACCACCUGCAGUAACCUUACGCGACACUGCAAGGGCAAAGAGGUCCGUGAAAAUUAUAAUGGCUUUUUCAAUGGGGAAGGAGCUGUGGCAUGGCAGGAGGAAUAUAUCAGCUAAGAAAAAUUUAAAAGCAACUUACCCCUUCGGCCUCCUCCACAUCCAGACUUCCCUCCUCGGACUCUGCCAUCACCACCAGGGACUCCUUAGCUGAUCGUUUCUCCAGGAGGAAGUUUAGUUCUUCGUAAUACCACAGCUGCGGCACAUAGACCUUGUCUGCACCGGCCCCUGACCUCUUCGACUCCUCCAGCUUGUGGUUCUCUUUUACAAAACUGUCUGUAUAUUCACAAUUUUCUUCCGGAUCCAGGCCACCGUGGACAAAAAAAAAGGUGAGCCUCCCUCUUCUGCUUGUUGCUGUAGUCCGGAGAGGACAUCAUCCAGAGACACUCCUCCUCACGAUACAGGCUGAUAAAGCCUGGUAGAAAAUAGCGCUCUCACAGGACAUCUGCAGAAUGCAAAAAAAGGAAAAUGAAUAAACAUGAAAAAAGUUCCAUUAU